AGGUCACGGCAAGACUAGCCGUUACUAAUAACGAUAGGUGCCAAGUGGAAGUGCAGUAAUGUAKGUAGCUGAGGCAUCCUAACAGACCGAGAGAUUUGAAC
RNAcentral lists this ribosomal RNA (101 nucleotides) under Cryptomitrium himalayense. RNAcentral describes it as "partial 4.5S ribosomal RNA". The record is from RNAcentral. Lineage: Eukaryota; Viridiplantae; Streptophyta; Marchantiopsida; Marchantiales; Aytoniaceae.